GGAUGUGAGGGCGAUCUGGCAGCAAUAUCUGUCAACCCACUGAUAGCCAGUGUUGAUUAGGCUGCUCUGGCAUGCUAGGCAGGUGUCCCUUUCUUCCCUCACUGCUCUAUUGUGUGUCCCUUCUGAAGCUGUGCACUCUCUUGAAGAGGUUGACGUUCCAUGAAUAGAAACUGACUGAUCUUCCUUUGAGGGUAUAUGAGUAGCUGUGUUCCCCUGUUAGAACCUCCAGGCAAGCUAUCAAGGCCUUCCAUUCUUAUCUAAUUUUGGUGCAUGAUGUUAAGUGAUGGUCUAGUUUCACUUUUCUGCAUGGGAUGAUCCAGUUUGCUAAGCAUC
This is an unclassified non-coding RNA of Erinaceus europaeus (western European hedgehog), 333 nucleotides long. Its record names the gene 7SK. It matches the Rfam family "7SK RNA". From Rfam's summary of the family: 7SK was discovered as an abundant small nuclear RNA in the mid-70s but a possible function has only recently been suggested. Two independent studies have found that 7SK RNA binds the CDK9/cyclin T complex (known as elongation factor P-TEFb). NCBI's taxonomy places the organism in Eukaryota, Metazoa, Chordata, Mammalia, Eulipotyphla, Erinaceidae. The record is from Ensembl.